AUUGGUUAUUGCAUUUAGUAAUAGAGGUAAAUGCAGUGAAGUGUUAAUCAUAUUUACUAAUAAUUUGUAAUGCACCAACAUAUUCUGCAGCACUGUACAAUGACUAGAUAACUAGAUAAUUAUAAAUAAUAAUUCAACAUCUAUCAAUUUCUUCAUAUUGUUUAUCCUAUAAGCUUUCACGCAAGGCUACAAUUAACAAAUACGUGCAGCUAAUCCGCCUACCGCGGAAAAGGAGUGAUGUUCCAACAAACACCCCUUGCAGUGUAGCUGGAUGGGGAAGGCUCAAUAAUCAAAAUAAAACUGGCACUGACAUCUUAUUUGAAACCAACAUCAACAUUUUAAGUCGGAGAACGUGUCGAACUACUGUUCCAAUGCUGAAUGAUGGGAUGAUCUGUGCAGGGAACACAGAAGAGGAAAACGAUGCUAGUCAGGUACAGCUUCAAAAUAUACAAUUUUUUUUGUAAAAAAAAAAAAGCUAAAUGUGCAGUAGCUUUUGUACUAUUAAUCACGGUUGGUGUAUAGAGAGUAAAUGUAGCCUCUGAAUCUCUAUGUCUUAUUACGAAAC
Non-coding RNA from Pelobates cultripes (western spadefoot toad), 565 nucleotides. The record is from the annotation of a GenBank genome assembly. NCBI's taxonomy places the organism in Eukaryota, Metazoa, Chordata, Amphibia, Anura, Pelobatidae.